This 396-nucleotide ribosomal RNA is filed under the name uncultured bacterium. RNAcentral's name for it is "bacterial SSU rRNA". It matches the Rfam family "Bacterial small subunit ribosomal RNA", at positions 362 to 775 of the family's 1533-position model. The record is from RNAcentral.
UAUUGGACAAUGGGCGCAAGCCUGAUCCAGCAAUGCCGCGUGUGUGAAGAAGGUCUUCGGAUCGUAAAGCACUUUCGACGGGGACGAUGAUGACGGUACCCGUAGAAGAAGCCCCGGCUAACUUCGUGCCAGCAGCCGCGGUAAUACGAAGGGGGCUAGCGUUACUCGGAAUUACUGGGCGUAAAGGGCGCGUAGGCGGCGCUCCAAGUUAGGCGUGAAAGGCCUGGGCUCAACCUGGGAACUGCGCUUGAUACUGGAGUGCUUGAGGAUGGAAGAGGGUCGUGGAAUUCCCAGUGUAGAGGUGAAAUGCGUAGAUAUUGGGAAGAACACCGGUGGCGAAGGCGGCGACCUGGUCCAUUACUGACGCUGAGGCGCGACAGCGUGGGGAGCAAACAG